RNAcentral lists this transfer RNA (68 nucleotides) under Scolytinae sp. BMNH 1274712. Its description in RNAcentral is "tRNA-Val". The record is from RNAcentral. Lineage: Eukaryota; Metazoa; Arthropoda; Insecta; Coleoptera; Curculionidae.
CAAAUUAGAGCUUUAAUAAGUUUUUUAGUUACAUUAAAAAGUUAAUUGUUUUAAUCAAUUUAAUUUGA